This 19-nucleotide small nuclear RNA is filed under the name Arabidopsis thaliana (thale cress). RNAcentral describes it as "snRNA_02030". The record is from RNAcentral. Lineage: Eukaryota; Viridiplantae; Streptophyta; Magnoliopsida; Brassicales; Brassicaceae.
GACCGGGCCUAAGUUCCCU